RNAcentral lists this long non-coding RNA (687 nucleotides) under Erythranthe guttata (spotted monkey flower). RNAcentral describes it as "long non-coding RNA (EGUT_LNC003772)". Lineage: Eukaryota; Viridiplantae; Streptophyta; Magnoliopsida; Lamiales; Phrymaceae. The record is from RNAcentral.
AAAGGAAAGUAAUUUGUUUUGAAUUUGAUGAGUUCCGUUUUGAAUUUUUUUGGGGUGUAAUUAAUUGAUGAAUUAAUCAGGUUUUUAAUUCAGCCAUAAAACGCAGUCGGUUAUUUUUUUUUUUUUGAUUCGCUAAUUUUGCAUAUUUUCAGUCUCGUAUAAAUUGGUUAGGGUUUUCACCAUUUUUGUGUUCAGUACUUGAUUUUUCUUCUUCUCCGAUCUGGAGAAGAUGCAGAAAGUAUGGUUCCUCUUUUUUUUUUUUUUUUGGGGUGGGUGUGGGUGUGUGUGGGUGUUUUGUUUCAAAUGACAACUGAUUGAUCUAAUUGACCUCACAAAAUGCUGUUAUUGCUAUAAUUUCAGGUCGUUUGGUAUACGAUUCUAGUUCAUACGAUUGCAAAGGGGAUGUGGUAGGGAGAAACAUGCGGGGGUUGAGCUUGCUGAUUAACGUUUUUGUUAUCUCCUUGAAUUUGUACUGCAGGGUUAUUCUAAAACUUGCGAUUCUUCCCGUUGAAACCUAGCCCUCGUUUCCUUUUAUCCUUUUAAUUAUAUAUCCAUGGGAACCAAUCGCUUUCCUUCCUAUGUUUGCCUCUUCUACAUUCUAUAAUUUGGCCAUUAGAUUUAGCAUUCAAAACUACUCUAGCCCAUCAAAUCUAUCUCAAUAUCUCAAUAUCUAUAAUUUAGUUCAUC